This 327-nucleotide ribosomal RNA is filed under the name uncultured eukaryote. Its description in RNAcentral is "partial 18S ribosomal RNA". It matches the Rfam family "Eukaryotic small subunit ribosomal RNA", at positions 1470 to 1796 of the family's 1831-position model. The record is from RNAcentral.
CCCUUAGAUGUUCUGGGCCGCACGCGCGCUACACUGAUUCAUGCAACAAGUUUUGUCCUUGGCUGAUAGGCCUGGGUAAUCUUUGAACGUGAAUCGUGAUGGGGAUAGAUGAUUGCAAUUAUUCAUCUUCAACGAGGAAUUCCUAGUAAACGCAAGUCAUCAGCUUGCAUUGAUUACGUCCCUGCCCUUUGUACACACCGCCCGCCGCACCUACCGAUUGAAUGGUCCGGUGAAAUCUUCGGAUCUGAGAGAUGUCUGAUUAAUUUCGGACGCCUUUUGGAAAAGUUGCUUAAACCUUACCAUUUAGAGGAAGGUGAAGUCGUANCA